UAAAACAGUUAUAGUUUAUUUGAUCAUCACCUUACUACAUGGAUAACUGUAGUAAUUCUAGAGCUAAUACAUGCGUCAGAACCCGACUUCACGGAAGGGUCGUGUUUAUUAGAUACAAAACCAACCUGGGUUCGACUCAGAGCUUGUUGGUGAUUCAUAAUAACCAAACGGAUCGGCGUUCUCGCCGACAAAUCAUUCAAGUUUCUGAUCUAUCAGCUAUCGACGGUAGGGUAUUGGCCUACCGUGGCUUUGACGGAUAACGGAGAAUCAGGGUUCGAUUCCGGAGAGGGAGCCUGAGAAACGGCUACCACAUCUAAGGAUGGCAGCAGGCGCGCAAAUUACCCAAUCCUGACAUAGGGAGGUAGUGACGAGAAAUAACAAGGGAAAACUAAUAGUUUUCUCAUUGGAAUGAGUAGAUUUUAAAUCUCUCUACAAGUAUCAAUUGGAGGG
This 450-nucleotide ribosomal RNA is filed under the name uncultured freshwater eukaryote. RNAcentral describes it as "bacterial SSU rRNA". It matches the Rfam family "Eukaryotic small subunit ribosomal RNA", at positions 102 to 555 of the family's 1831-position model. The record is from RNAcentral.